Molecule: long non-coding RNA, 1450 nt
Organism: Bos taurus (domestic cattle)
Lineage: Eukaryota; Metazoa; Chordata; Mammalia; Artiodactyla; Bovidae
Source: Ensembl
CCUUAACAUUAAUGCUUUUGCAAUUCAAGCAACAAGAAGAAACUCACUAGCAUCUGCAAAUGCUGGUUCCAAAUGCUUGACAGUUGGGGGAGAAUAUGACUGGCUAAGCUUAGUCAAGUGACCACUCCUGGUCCAUUCAGCUACAUGCAGGGGUGGGAUCUUGAGGUUUAAAUAUGGCUGUGCGGUGAAGAGACGAUGGUCUCAGAGAAAGGAGAGAUGAGCUGGAGGUACUCUGCAGCUGGUGUCUUUUGCAAUCACAGGGUGAUUUCAGUGACAGUCUUAUAAACGACCAGAGCUAAUCUGAGAGUGUAUUGGUCUCACUCCUAAAACCAGAAGUCACCAUCCAGCCAACUUCAGGGCUCAAAAGCCAGGUGGGGGGUCUCUCCCCGGGUGCCCUGCCUUCCUGCCUCACCUUUUACGCAGCUCUAAGGAACGCUUGGCACAAACACUCUCCAACCUAAUUACCAGCCGGAAUUAAUCAAAGGCAGAUUCUUUACCAUCUGAACCACCAGGGAAGCCAGAUUGCUGCUGUAAGUUACAAUAAACUUAGUGACUAAACGCAGAAUAUUAUCUUACAGAAGCAUCCUGCCACUUGCAGGAUCUUGGUUCCUGGACCAGUGACUGAACUCCGGUCCCAGCAGUGGAAGCACAGAGUCCUAACCACUGGACCACCAGAGGAUUCCUGGGGAUCCAUUUUUCUUCACCACCUCCUGCAAAACCCACCCCUCCCUCUGCUAUGGAUGCCAUCACCUCUCUGCCCGCACCCAGGGGUCUCCCCUCCAGCUCCGGAGCGCCUUCUCCUCCCUCUGCCUGCUUUGCCGCUGACAGCUAGAAGAUUCCAAGCCAACCAUUUUGUAGAAGGUCCCUCGUCUGGGUUUGUUUGAUGUUUCCCUUUGAUUAAAUUCAGGUUAUACAUUUUUGAGAGGAAAUCACAGUUUCAUUUCUUCACAUGAAAAUAUUGAAUCCAUUUGGAAUUAAUUUGGGUAUAAAUGAUAUAUUUUUCCUCACUUAUAUGAAACACCUCCUUUAUCAUAUAGCAAAUAUUUAAUUGCAUAUCUUUUAUCUUUCUGCUCUUCAAAGCCAGUGUCACACUGUUUUAAUUACCCUGGCUUCGUAAUAUGCACCCCCCAAACACGGUAAUGAGCAGAGUCCCCCUAAUCAUGCUUCUUUUCUCAGAAACUUCCUGGCUCUUCUCGCUCAUUAAAUCUUCCAGAUGCACCUUAGAAUCGUGUUAUCAAGUUCCUUAAAAAGUACCUUUGUGAUUUAGGUUGUCGAACUUUGAAAUCACUGUGGGCAAAACGGGCAGCUUUAAUACUAAACCUUCCAUAGAGGAGCAGUGUCUGUGUAUCAUCCACACUUUCUGUGACUCGGUAAAGCUUUGUACUCUUUUUCAUGAAGUUCCUGCCCUUUUCUCUGGGAGCUGGUGACUACUUUUGAGUCUCUUGUGAAC